RNAcentral lists this long non-coding RNA (837 nucleotides) under Homo sapiens (human). Its description in RNAcentral is "non-protein coding lnc-FDFT1-3:1". Lineage: Eukaryota; Metazoa; Chordata; Mammalia; Primates; Hominidae. The record is from RNAcentral.
GUGUGUCUCAGACAGUCCUGAGUUAAUUCAGACAGAACUAUUGUGCUCUGUUCAUUUAUCCCUUUUAUUCUUUUUUCUUUUCACGGAUGGGCUUUAGAUUUCCAUUUGUGGCCUCUCCUCCUUUUAGAUCUAGGUAAAAUGGACAAAAACCUUCCGUUUUCAUGGUUUCUGAUGGCUUAAACCUGUCCCUAAGAUGUUUGCAAGCCUCCAGGCAAAGAAGGAAGUGCUGGUGGAGGAGGCUGUGGUUGUCUUUCAUUCAUGCUUUGAUGUCUUGUCUCUAAGAGGACUCUUUCUGCAUGUUUGUCUCUUGGGCAUGCUUGAUCCGGCUAUAAAAUUCAGCCUCUUGCUUGAUUUCUAUGUACACUGGAAUCAUAGUGAGUUUAGACUUUUCUGGAGGCUUAGGGGUAGGCAAUGAGGAUGAGGAGGGGGUGACCAAGAGAUAGAGGAGAGAUUUACUUGGUAGAAAUGCAUCCAGAACACAGGCAUUGCCUUUCAGUUAACGUUCUUUGGUGACCCUUCCAGGCUAGAUUUCAUUUCACUCUGAACUUCCCAUCUUUUUGGUUCCCUUUCGCCCUCAUUCUCAGAUUUCUCUCCAUUCCUUUCAGUGGCAAAACAACUCAUUUCUUCCCUGUUCCCCCAAGAACAGCCUCCCUCAUGAUCUGCAGGCUCAGAGCUGACUUUCGUCCCACAAGAUGUCAUCUUCCCCAACCAAGUCUCUCUACGCUAAAGAUAGUUCCUUCACUGGUUAGAGUUCUGGGGCCAGCUGUUCUCUCUCUUUUUAAUUUCACUUCUCUAGAAAAGCUUCUUAAGAAAUUGCAACCUUGCUUAGCUCAACGG